UAGGUUAACGAGGCGAACCGGGGGAACUGAAACAUCUAAGUACCCCGAGGAAAAGAAAUCAACCGAGAUUCCCCCAGUAGCGGCGAGCGAACGGGGAGCAGCCCAGAGUCUGAAUCAGCUUGUGUGUUAGUGGAACGGUCUGGAAAGUCCGACGGUACAGGGUGAUAGUCCCGUACACCAAAAUGCACAGGUUGUGAACUCGAAGAGUAGGGCGGGACACGUGGUAUCCUGUCUGAAUAUGGGGGGACCAUCCUCCAAGGCUAAAUACUCCUGACUGACCGAUAGUGAACCAGUACCGUGAGGGAAAGGCGAAAAGAACCCCGGCGAGGGGAGUGAAAAAGAACCUGAAACCGUGUACGUACAAGCAGUGGGAGCACCUUCGGGUGUGACUGCGUACCUUUUGUAUAAUGGGUCAGCGACUUAUAUUCUGUAGCAAGGUUAACCGUAUAGGGGAGCCGCAGGGAAACCGAGUCUUAACUGGGCGUUAAGUUGCAGGGUAUAGACCCGAAACCCGGUGAUCUAGCCAUGGGCAGGUUGAAGGUUGGGUAACACUAACUGGAGGACCGAACCGACUAAUGUUGAAAAAUUAGCGGAUGACUUGUGGCUGGGGGUGAAAGGCCAAUCAAACCGGGAGAUAGCUGGUUCUCCCCGAAAGCUAUUUAGGUAGCGCCUCGUGAACUCAUCUUCGGGGGUAGAGCACUGUUUCGGCUAGGGGGUCAUCCCGACUUACCAACCCGAUGCAAACUACGAAUACCGAAGAAUGUUAUCACGGGAGACACACGGCGGGUGCUA
Molecule: ribosomal RNA, 792 nt
Filed under: Klebsiella aerogenes
Lineage: Bacteria; Pseudomonadati; Pseudomonadota; Gammaproteobacteria; Enterobacterales; Enterobacteriaceae
Description: partial 23S ribosomal RNA
Rfam family: Bacterial large subunit ribosomal RNA
Source: RNAcentral